CUACGGGAGGCAGCAGUGGGGAAUAUUGCACAAUGGGGGAAACCCUGAUGCAGCCAUGCCGCGUGUGUGAAGAAGGCCUUCGGGUUGUAAAGCACUUUCAGUAGGGAGGAAAGGUAAUAGCUUAAUACGCURUURCUGUGACGUUACCUACAGAAGAAGGACCGGCUAACUCCGUGCCAGCAGCCGCGGUAAUACGGAGGGUCCGAGCGUUAAUCGGAAUUACUGGGCGUAAAGCGUGCGCAGGCGGUUUGUUAAGCGAGAUGUGAAAGCCCCGGGCUCAACCUGGGAAUUGCAUUUCGAACUGGCGAACUAGAGUCUUGUAGAGGGGGGUAGAAUUCCAGGUGUAGCGGUGAAAUGCGUAGAGAUCUGGAGGAAUACCGGUGGCGAAGGCGGCCCCCUGGACAAAGACUGACGCUCAGGCACGAAAGCGUGGGGAGCAAACAGGAUUAGAUACCCUGGUAGUCCACGCCGUAAACGAUGUCUACUCGGAGUUUGGUGUCUUGAACACUGGGCUCUCAAGCUAACGCAUUAAGUAGACCGCCUGGGGAGUACGGCCGCAAGGUUAAAACUCAAAUGAAUUGACGGGGGCCCGCACAAGCGGUGGAGCAUGUGGUUUAAUUCGAUGCAACGCGAAGAACCUUACCUACUCUUGACAUCCACRGAAUUCGCUAGAGAUAGCUUAGUGCCUUCGGGAACUGUGAGACAGGUGCUGCAUGGCUGUCGUCAGCUCGUGU
Molecule: ribosomal RNA, 734 nt
Filed under: Shewanella sp. i8
Lineage: Bacteria; Pseudomonadati; Pseudomonadota; Gammaproteobacteria; Alteromonadales; Shewanellaceae
Description: bacterial SSU rRNA
Rfam family: Bacterial small subunit ribosomal RNA
Source: RNAcentral